GACGUAGGGCGCGAGCGUUGUCCGGAUUUAUUGGGCGUAAAGAGCUCGUAGGCGGCUUGUCGCGUCGACUGUGAAAACCCGCGGCUCAACUGUGGGCUUGCAGUCGAUACGGGCAGGCUGGAGUUCGGUAGGGGAGACUGGAAUUCCUGGUGUAGCGGUGAAAUGCGCAGAUAUCAGGAAGAACACCCGUGGCGAAGGCGGCUCUCUGGGACGGUACUGACGCUGAGACGCGAAAGCGUGGGGAGCGAACAGG
This 253-nucleotide ribosomal RNA is filed under the name uncultured bacterium. Its description in RNAcentral is "partial 16S ribosomal RNA". It matches the Rfam family "Bacterial small subunit ribosomal RNA", at positions 524 to 776 of the family's 1533-position model. The record is from RNAcentral.